RNAcentral lists this ribosomal RNA (524 nucleotides) under uncultured Acidobacteriota bacterium. RNAcentral's name for it is "bacterial SSU rRNA". It matches the Rfam family "Bacterial small subunit ribosomal RNA", at positions 381 to 896 of the family's 1533-position model. Lineage: Bacteria; Pseudomonadati; Acidobacteriota. The record is from RNAcentral.
ACCUGACGACGCAACGCCGCGUGGAGGAUGAAGACCUUCGGGUCGUAAACUCCUUUCGAUCGAGACGAACGGCCUCCGGGUGAACAAUCCGGAGGAGUGACGGUACCGAGAGAAGAAGCCCCGGCUAACUCCGUGCCAGCAGCCGCGGUAAUACGGGGGGGCAAGCGUUGUUCGGAAUUACUGGGCGUAAAGGGCUCGUAGGCGGCCAACUAAGUCGGACGUGAAAUCCCUCGGCUUAACCGGGGAACUGCGUCUGAUACUGGAUGGCUCGAGUUCGGGAGAGGGAUGCGGAAUUCCAGGUGUAGCGGUGAAAUGCGUAGAUAUCUGGAGGAACACCGGUGGCGAAGGCGGCAUCCUGGACCGACACUGACGCUGAGGAGCGAAAGCCAGGGGAGCAAACGGGAUUAGAUACCCCGGUAGUCCUGGCCCUAAACGAUGAAUGCUUGGUGUGGCGGGUAUCGAUCCCUGCCGUGCCGAAGCUAACGCAUUAAGCAUUCCGCCUGGGGAGUACGGUCGCAAGGCUG